Molecule: ribosomal RNA, 468 nt
Filed under: uncultured bacterium
Lineage: Bacteria
Description: partial 16S ribosomal RNA
Rfam family: Bacterial small subunit ribosomal RNA
Source: RNAcentral
GACGAACGCUGGCGGCGUGCUUAACACAUGCAAGUCGAACGGAAAGGCCCUGCUCUUGUGGGGUGCUCGAGUGGCGAAAGGGUGAGUAACACGUGAGUAACAUGCCCUUGACUUUGGGAUAUCUUCAGGAAACUGGGGCUAUUACCGGAUAGGAGCUCCUGCGGCAUGGUGGGGGUUGGAAAGUUUCGGCGGUGGGGGAUGGACUCGCGGCUUAGCAGCGUGUUGGUGGGGUAGUGGCUUACCAAGGCUUUGACGGGUAGCCGGCCUGAGAGGGUGACCGGCCACAUUGGGACUGAGGUACGGCCCAGACUCCAACGGGAGGCAGCAGUGGGGAAUAUUGCACAAUGGGCGGACGCCUGAUGCAGCAACGCCGCGUGCGGAAUGACGGCCUUCGGGUUAUAAACCGCUUUCGCCUGUGACGAAGCGUGAGUGACGGUAAUGGGUAAAGAAGCACCGGCUAACUACGUG